UACGUAGGGUGCUAGCGUUGUUCGGAAUCACUGGGCGUAAAGUGUGUGUAGGCGGUUAUUUAAGUCUGGUGUGAAAUCCUCGGGCUCAACCCGAGAACUGCAUCGGAAACUGGAUGACUGGAGUGCGGUAGAGGAAAGUGGAAUUCCUGGUGUAGAGGUGAAAUUCGUAGAUAUCAGGAGGAAUACCAGUUGCGAAGGCGACUUUCUGGGCCGUUACUGACGCUGAGACACGAAAGCGUGGGGAGCAAACAGG
RNAcentral lists this ribosomal RNA (253 nucleotides) under uncultured bacterium. RNAcentral describes it as "partial 16S ribosomal RNA". It matches the Rfam family "Bacterial small subunit ribosomal RNA", at positions 524 to 776 of the family's 1533-position model. The record is from RNAcentral.